This is a non-coding RNA of Benincasa hispida (wax gourd), 2221 nucleotides long. Lineage: Eukaryota; Viridiplantae; Streptophyta; Magnoliopsida; Cucurbitales; Cucurbitaceae. The record is from RefSeq and is a predicted model, not a curated record.
AGUAGCGCGUGUCUGCAUGUGUCCUGGAACAAAAGAAAAGAAAAGGACCAUUCUCCAAAAACCUCUCAAUUCAAUUUCUUCCAGAAUUGAUGUUCUUUGAUUCAUCUCUCUCUCUCUGGAGUGCCUUUGGUUUUCCCUUUUCCCUUCCCUCACACCUCAAUUUCAACCCAAUUUCACCAAUCAAUGCAUCUUUUUCUUUGCAUUAGCCUUUUUCAACCCUUCUUCCCACUUUUUCCUUCCUCUGUUCCUCUCAAUUUUCUCAAAUUCCUCUUCCAAUCCCCCAUAAUUUGAACAAAAGCGACGGAUUCUAGGGUUUUGAUCCACAUUACCUGUACUUUCUUCAAAAUCCGCCCAAAACACAAUCGUUUAUGGCCGGCGGCGCCGCCACUACUCCGACGGCGGCCACGAAGUUCAUUAAGUGCGUGACGGUUGGAGAUGGCGCCGUUGGGAAGACUUGUCUUCUCAUCUCUUACACUAGCAACACUUGUCCGACUGAUUAUGUUCCUACUGUUUUUGAUAAUUUCAGUGCCAAUGUUUUGGUUAAUGGGCGGUCUGUGAAUUUGGGUCUCUGGGACACUGCCGGUGAUUUCCUUUUCUCUGUUUCCGAUAAUCAUGCUUCAUUUAUCCAGUUUUGUUAUUAAACUGUUGAUGGAUUUUCUUUUCUGGGAUUUCCGUAAUUUCAUGUGCGUAAGCUUAAAGCUAAAUACCUCUACUUGAGUGACGUUUUUGGAGAUUUGACCAAAUUACAAGACGAAGGAAGCCUUUAAGAUCAUAAGAUCAAAUUGAAGCUAAACGAAAAUUAUAAUCACUAUAGGAUUAUACUAGUAGUUUCUCAUAAGAAAAAAGGAUUAUACCAGUAGUUCAACCAACAUACUAUAAUGUGUCGUAGAAAGAAAUUCUAUGUGUCGUCAAUAGCUAUAGGAUAUGAAUAUCUGAACAAGUUUUAUCAAGUACAUAGAGGAAGUUUAGAUGCACUUUAAAAUUAAACCAUGUUACAAAGUUGUUCUUCUCAGAAUGUGUUCUUCAAAUCUGUCCAGUUGAUAAGCCUCCACGCAUUGUUUCAUAUUCUUCUUCACUUGUUUCUUUUUCAAUUACAAAACUAGUUUAGAUUUUCUUUUUCCUCCUUAUUUUAUUGGUAUAAUUGAAACUCUAGUGGAAAAAUAAAAAACAAGUGUCCCUGUUCUGUAGGCACUUGAUCGCACAGUAUCUUCCAGAAAUAUCAUUAUGAAUGUUUGUAAGCUAGAUAGACUAGGGUACUCCAAUCUUCAAUGAAAAGAUAUUCCCACUAAUUUCCAUUUUAAAGUGAUGUAUGAAUGUUAGAAGGAUCAGUUUAUAGGUCAAGAAGAUUAUAGCAGGCUAAGACCUUUGAGUUACAGAGGAGCUGAUGUUUUCCUUCUUGCCUUUUCACUUAUAAGUCGGGCAAGCUUUGAAAAUAUAUCAAAGAAAGUAAGUUCACUUCUUGUACAACUUUUGGAAUGUUUAUUAUUUUGAUUCAGUAUUUAGAUUCUUCUUGAUGUCCUUUUCUUUUGGAGCAGUGAAUCCCAGAGUUAAGGCAUUAUGCCCCAUCAGUGUCCCUUAUUUUUGUAGGGACCAAACUAGGUGCCUUUCUUCUUUAAUUUUAAUUUUAUUGCCUGAAUUAUCAAUUCCUUCACUCUUAAGUAAAAUUCUCAUAAUUUUCCUGAUGGUUGUUUUUGUGGGCUAGUAUAAGAACCCACAUCCACAAAUGGAACAAUCUUUUUUUACCUUUUCAGGGACACUGUCAGAUAAAAAUGUGUGUUUCAAUGUCAUGAUAUCAGAGAUCAACUUCUUCAAUAUCGAUCUUCUACAUACAAGUCCAUACAUUAAACUAGAAUCUCCACAUGAUAUAGAUAUAUUUGUACUGUGUAAAACGAUGCCUAAUAUCUUUUUUUUCAGGGUGAGGAACUAAAGAAGCUCAUUGGAGCAGUGGCAUGCAUUGAUUGCAGUUCAAAGACACGUCAGAAUGUAAGGCUGUCAUUGAUGCUGCUGCAAUCAAGGUGAUUCUUCAACCUCCAAAAUCAAAGAAGUCAAAGAGAAAACUUCCAAUCUGCAAUUUUCUCUCAUCAUGUUUAAUUAAGCCUCUCCCCACUACUUGUAAUUGAACUAUGUAUGUUAACUUCUAUGAUCCUUUAUAGGGUGUAUUUUAACAAUUGUGUUAUUGUAUCAUAAUGUUAGUCAUUUUAUUUUGUUUGAGCUCAACAAA